Long non-coding RNA from Labeo rohita (rohu), 202 nucleotides. RefSeq lists it as uncharacterized. NCBI's taxonomy places the organism in Eukaryota, Metazoa, Chordata, Actinopteri, Cypriniformes, Cyprinidae. The transcript has 2 exons. The record is from RefSeq and is a predicted model, not a curated record.
GUUUAAUCAGGAAACUCUGCAGGAUAAUGACUCACCAGAAAGAAAACUGGACACUUCUCAAAGGAAAUACAACAAGCUCCUCCAACAUUUGCAAGCACGACUCCUGACGUAGACUGGAUUGUAUUGUGAUGUUUUUCUGUGCCGCAGUUGAGUCGAAAGACAGGAUGACCUGUCACCACCUCCGUUGUUAUUGUCAGUCACA